UCGUGGUCGGCGCGCGGAACUGAGCGCUUCGAGUCUGUGCACUGUUUCUGCUGCGCGCUCGUUCUGCUCGGCUGGGCUGGAAACGUCGCAGUGUGUGUGCGUGGCCCGCCUGGCGCAAGCGUUGUUGUCGCCUUUGCUGUUAAAAACGCGCCCGCGAGUUGGAUGAAGAAUCGUCUUCUUCGUGCUGCGCCUAUUUGUUUGUUUUGUUUGUGCGGUGGUGAUUGGUGCAGCUGUCGUCGUCAUUCACCUGUGACAUAGACCUUUUUCUUCCUCCGUGGAUCUGUUUCCAGUGGUAUCGCAUCCGGAAAACGAGAUCGUGUGCUGCUGCUGCCACUGGGCAUUGCGCUGCUCUCCGACCUACCUGCCUUCCUGUGUGUGUGUGUGGCUUACGACUGUGCGAGGUCGGUGUCUCCUCCGUUGUUGGGGAAGAAGUGACCGACGGAGCCGAGCGGUAGGAUAUCGUCGGCUUCGUUGAUGACUGCCACUGUGACUUCCCGUCGCACAGUCCGCACUGCGUAUACCUUCAACAGCUCACGACAGGAAACGGCGGCGCCGAUAAGAGGGGCCCCGCGGACACUCCGGAAGUGCGUUGCCGUGAGGCUCGCCACACCGUGAAGACUUCAGCAGAGCAGACGGCAGCGGCGGUAGUAGCUGCAGCCAUGCCGGGUCGCGUCGGCGGCUGCCCCGAGACGAGAAGGCCGGGAGUGGUGCCGGUGGCUCUGCACUAGGCCCUACACGGCCGCAACCCCUCCCUCCGCACCUUACCCCCCAUUUCCCCGUACCUUCCUUCCCGCGCUGCCCCCCCAUCCAUCCAACACUCACGAUGACGUCGAGCUGCCUGGACCUGAGCGCCAAGAUGGCGCCGUGCUUCAUGAGCCGCGACGACUCCCACUUCACGCCGCACGGCUCGCUCCAGCAGCAGCACCAGCAGCAGCCGCACUGGGCGCGGGGCCACCGGCGCACCAAGAGCGCCGGCAACUACGGGCCCCGCGACCUGAGCAUCUACACCACCAUGGGCCUGUACGCGCACCACGGCACCACGCUGCCGCCGCUCGCCCAGUCCGAGUCCACGCUGGCGCUGGCUCCGCUCUACGAGUGGCAGCAGCGGCACCACCAGCUGUCUGGGCUGGGCGGGAGCACCUCGGGUCACCACCAUCUGCACCACGUGCACCACCACCACCCGCUCUCCGAAGUGACGUACAGCAGCGCUGCCGAGUUCGCCAGGGUGGGAGGAGAGCACCGCGGUGAGCGGCUGCUCAUCAGGCCGGACCUCGAUGAGGUGGACCCAAACCUGCGAGAGUGCGGCAUCCUUGGCUGUCGGCCACGCUGGUUACAGCACUUUGCCAACAUCAGAGUUUUUGUGUUUCUGUCGUGCAUGCUGGUUACCCUGCAGCAAGCAUUGUCCACUGGAUAUGUAAAUAGUGUAAUUACCACAAUUGAGAAGAGGUUUGAUAUCCCUAGUCGAGUGUCAGGAGCCAUUUCAAGUUCAUUUGAGAUUGGAAACCUGCUGACCAUUAUUUUUGUGAGCUACCUUGGGAGCCAUAGGCACAUUCCUGUUUGGAUUGGCAAAGGAACCAUUGUAAUGGCAAUCGGAUCUUUUGUCUUCUCGCUUCCGUACUUCAUGGACCAAUCUAACUCUCCGAGUAUUUAUAGGCUUAAUGUCACUCGCAUUGAGGACGAAAACACAUGCCAAAUGCCCACAGCUGCCAUGGUGCCCGAACAUACAAGCAGCCACUUUAUUAACCCGCCCCUGUCACCCGACGCUGAGCAAAGAUGCAUCGAUGGCAGGUCUUCGAAUGCCUUGUAUAUUUUCAUAUUUAUGUGUGCCCAAAUCCUGAUUGGGUGCGGUGGGACACCCAUUUUUACUCUGGGAACAACCUACAUCGAUGACCAUGUUCGGAAGGAGAGCUCUUCCAUGUACAUUGGCUGUAUGUACAGCACAGUGGCCUUCGGCCUGGUGGUGGGCUACCUGCUGGGUGGAUUCCUCCUGUCUCAGCACGAGAAUUCCUUCCUGGGUGGCACCGUGCCGCGAGGCAUCUUUCCUGGCGCCCCCCGGUGGAUCGGUGCCUGGUGGGCUGGAUUCGUCCUCUGUGGCAUCUUUCUCAUGCUGGUUGCAGUGCCUUUCUUCGCAUUCCCCAAAGCCCUGCAGAGAGAGAAAGCACGGCUGAAGCGUGACGAAGAGUACAUUAUGGGAGGAACCAAGAUGGUGGUUCCUGGCAUCAACCAGAAAGUGGAGGUCUGGAAGCCCUCUGGAGUCACAGACCAGCACAACGCUUCCUCUUCUGAGAUUCCACAAAAGCAGAAAUAUGGCCGCGACAUCAAAGACAUCCCAGCAUCCAUGUGGCGGCUGCUGUGUAACCCCAUCUACAUGGUGACUUGCCUUGGCUCCUGUAUGGAGCUGGCCAUUGUCAGUGGCUUUGUUGUCUUCCUGCCCAAAUACCUGGAGACUCAGUUCAACAUCGGCAAGUCGCAAGCCAACGUUUUCACAGGUGGCAUCGCCAUUCCUGGUGCCUGUGUUGGAAUAUUCUUGGGAGGCUAUGUCCUGAAGAAGUUCCAAAUGAGACCGAAAGGGGCCAUUCAAUUUGUGCUCUGCUUCAACCUGCUGUGCAUGGGUCUCUACACACUCCUGUACUUCUUAGGCUGUGAUAACAUCCGCAUGGCUGGUGCCACACUUCCUUACUUUAAUAAUAGCAGUGAGCUGGAUACGUUCCAGGUGAACCUAACAGCCGACUGCAACAUGGGCUGUCGCUGCUCGCCCAACGACAUAGAGCCUGUGUGCGGCCGCAACGGCAUCACAUAUUUCUCGCCCUGCCAUGCAGGCUGUCGACCAGGAGCUGGCCAUGGAUCACACCUCAACUACACGUCAUGUGCCUGCAUCGUGCCUAAUGUGACCAUGAACCCUGAAGUGACAGCCGUGCCACUGGCGACCAGCGGGCCGUGUCCACAGCCGUGUUUGGCAUUCAUCCCGUUCAUGGUGCUUCUGUUUGCCAUGACUCUGGUGGUCUCCAUCACGCAGAUGCCACUGCUCAUGAUAAUACUACGAUCUGUUGGAGAAGAAGAGAGGUCCUUUGCAUUGGGAAUGCAAUUUGUAAUAUUUAGGCUAUUUGGUUACAUCCCAGCACCAAUAAUGUUUGGUAAUGUGAUAGAUUCGUCCUGUAUCCUUCGAAAGGCUCACUGUGGCAAGCCGGGGGGCUUCUGCUUAGUCUACGACAUUGAGCAGUUUCGACUGAGGUACAUUGCCGUCUGCUCUGGCCUCAAAGUGGCCGCUGGGCUACUGUUCUUCCUCGACUGGCUCCUGAUCACGUGGCGGCACAAGCGCGAACUCAAGGAGGCUCCACCCAUGACGGUUGGAGAAAUCGUCUCCUCCAUCAUCUCGCUGGACCGUCUUUCCGCACUUGGCUGGGGCGAGGGCGAGCAGAAGGAAGACGUCCUCCCACUGGGGAACUGUGCAGAGGAAAUCGUAGACGGCGGCAACGAGAAUGCGGUCCACUCGGGCACCGAGCAUGAAGAGAAAGAGCGGCAUUGUCAGCCGCUGCUCAGGAGCAGCACAGCUCAGCCCGGCCCAUCAGAACUGGUCUGCUAGCUUGACUAGUAUGGUGUGUAACUGUGUACGAGUCAUGCAGCGAGUGCUGAGUCAUCCUCAGCCUCAUAUGAACAUACAUGACAGGCCGACAAAUAAGGUUAGAGCCUCGACCUAUGCCCUGCCGCCGCCACGGGUGCUUCGACUGAAACCAUAACGGAAGCUGAGCUGGACUUGCAUGCUUAUCAACUGCCUUUCGGUGAUGGAAAAAAAAAAUGGCUGCAGCUCUCUUCAGCUAGGCCGUAUUACAAUUUUCCAGAAACCCCCCGCCCCCUCUCUCCUUUGGCGCACGGAGAGCAUACGAUAAGGUUGUUGGCUCAGCACUCGGCCUGUCGUGUAUCGGCAACUCGCCCCAGGUUCCGGAUGAAACCGACCAUCUCUUGGUUCUGCUAGCUACAAACUACAGACUUGGCAUGUGGUGUGAAUUUUGUGCAAGCACGUGUAGGAGCCAUCAGACCGUCGACGACACCGCUGGUAACAGAACAUGCGCCUACUAACAUUGCGGGCCUUGUUUCUUGCCCUCCUGAAAAUGAAAACGACGAUAACCACUGCAUCCAGAGUGGCUCGUUGCAGCCUCAGGAUGUAGGAACCACUGUUCACAACAUGUGCAGGUAAUAUGCAGACCUUAGAAGUGCCUACAGUGCUACCUUCGAGAUUUGAUGGCGUUUCCGAAAUGACAAGUUUCAAGUCAGCGUCGCAUCGAAAGCUGCUAAACAACCAUGCAUUCACAGCAGCAGAUCAUACCUGCUAUCACCUCUUCAUUUUCUUUUCUUUUUUCUGCGUUGAAGUGAUCGUUUGCCAACGUUAGCCUAUUGAGAUUGUUUUCCUUGCGCAUGGUGACAGUGCUGUUUUUGGUGCAUAACUUGUCAUCUGCAUCACAUUGUACAUAUAUUAUCAGGUGGGGAGAAUACCUGCAUGUUGGUAGUAACGCACUUCCAUUGGUAAUGACAGGCUUUUUUUUUUUCUCCUAUCCUUGUUCAGACAUCUUGCAUUUACAAAAUGACUCUUUCCACACCAUUGCAUUUUCUUGUAAAGUUUUUGUUUCUCACUUGUAAACUGCUAUGGCCGUCUUUUCUUUGUGCACUAAAGGGACAUUAACAUAAUGACCCAAUUUAAGCUGGCAGAUUAUCGCUUCAAAAUUCUAAUGUGCUAUUCCUUGGUAGAAGAAAAAUACUAUUGUGAAAACAGAGGACAAUCUCGUUUUCUUGAAUUCAGUACCCAAAUAAUGGCACUGAUGGCUUCAUGAAACCACUGAUAUCGCAGCAUUUUUUUAUAUUUGUGCCUUUAAGCAGGAAGAGUUCGCAGAAUUUGCCAUGUUGGUUCUUGGUAUUUUCUAAUGCAAUUGACUCAUUUCUGCCAACAAGCAGUUACCUAGGCCUAACCAGAUACUACCACAAUCUAUGACGUUACAUGUAGCCCAUUCGAUAAUUUCAAAGUUGUACCUUCGCAUUAUUAAUUUUUUUCCACAGCAAGCCUUUGCUCAUAGCAGGACCGACACAUUCACAAUACAAGCAGUGUAAUCCUCCAAUCUAGCUGAAAUCAAUAUUCUCUUUAAUGUCCGUUUAAGGUCUCCAUUUUUGUCGUUAUUAUUGGCACGUUUAUUCUGGCCAAGUUAUUUCGAGUCGCCUUCCCAAACACUAGACGACAGUAACAAUACCGAAUUGAUGUUAUAAAAAUUGUUUAUUUCAAAAUGAAAUUUGCUUUGCGACUUCCUUUGCUGAAAAAACAAGUUGCAUACAUUCUUGGCUUUUCAGAAAGUGAGACGCUAGUUUUUUUCACUGCACACUCGACACAUCACUACCACCAGCAUUAGGGGUAAUUUGUAACAUUCUAUUUCAUUUUUCUAUACACCCUUUUCUAAUUUGUAAGUGCAGCUUGUCUGCACUAAACAUGUGCUAAACUAAUGGCAGCACCAGUCAUCGUUCAAACGAAGACUAAGUUCUACCUGCACAUGCUGGGGCUUGCCUCUCGCUCAUGGUUUCGUCAUGAGAGCCACGUCUACGUUUUCCAUGUCAUAAUAUAAGCAAGCUGUACACACGCUGUAUGCAAAACUGACUUAAGCAGUCAUUAGUAGGGCAAACUGCCUUGCAGGAAAGCUAGCUUUACAAUUAUGAAAAGGGUCUAAGUGAUAACAGCAACACAGCAGCAGCAACCAUGCUAUAUUCAUGUCAAUUACAAAAGGCAAAAAGAAUGGAAAGUGAAAUGGAUCGUUAACAAAAUACAGCCCAAGUUCAAAGUUCUCCAUGCAAAGACGCAACAGCCGCACCAGCUAGCCUGAUAUUGUUGCCUUAUAUACUGUCACAAUUUCGAUGAAGUGGCACUUUACCUGUGUUAGACUUGUUAAGUUGCACCACUUGAUUUUUUUUCUUUUUUUUUUCUUAUAACGCAAGAGGGUUAAUGAAUUGCUGCUCUUGCUAUGUUUCUGAAUCGUUCUGUGCUUCCUGGCACGUUUUUCAUUACAGCUGAGAACCAGCGCAGGUUUUAUGUGGCUUCCAUUUUAUGAAUUAGUAUUCUUCCCUGGUUGAAAUAUCUAUGGCUUUUACAGCUAAUCUUCCUAAGGUCAUGUCUUGUUCUAAACGGUUCAGUGGACCAGAUGAACUGCCCAUGUGUGCGUGUGUGCAGCAUAUCCCGUCAUUUACCCUUAUCUUUCUUUCACGUUUUGAUAAGAGUUGUAAAGCUACUAUUUAGUGUUCUUUUGUCAAAGGGUCACAUAUUGACUUGAACUUUAUAGAAGUCUGUUAUAUAUUUAUUUUUUCUUGCACCUGUGGCAAUAGCAUUUCUUCUUGGCAUAAUCUGUGGGAUGCUGUAAGGUGAACAUUUUACUCUUUAUAAAUGACAGCAUAAUCAUUGCAUUGACAAAUACUUCACUCAGAAUAUUGUUUGUCACCUCCACAGCGUGCAACCUCUGGAAUGCCUGUGCUUGCAUUCAUUGUAUCUGAUCUGAUAUCUGUAGCAGAAAAAUACUUGCAUUCACUGCAUGUUUUAUUUAUCGUGUUUCAAGCACCUGUAAUUAGAACUGAUUGCAACAACAAAGGCUACCAGGUGUUUGUUUCUUAAUUUAAGAAUGUUGACGUUGUAACAUCAAUGACGUCAAUUUAAACUUUUUGUUCUGAGAGGAACAUACUCCCAUAUAACUGCUGUUUUCUCCUCUUACAUUAUUAGCAGUAAUGAAAGCUAUGCCCAGAACUGCAUCUACAUAAAGCUUAUAACUGAAAAAUAUAUAUUCCAUGGAGGCUUAGAAAAAAGAAGACAGCCUUUAGAACCUUUAGGUUAACUCAGCUCACCCCAUUUUUUCCGCAUCGUGUGUACGACAUGUCAUAGAUAAGGCAAUUUCUUUUCUUGACCGUUAUCAAUUUGCACGUGUCCUGUUUCGUACACUGUAUACAAAACAAACUUCACUUGUACUGAGCAGGUAACAUUUGCACUCAGUGUUAUCACAAAUUGCAUUGAUGAGUUUAUUCACAAUUCCACUUCUAUUUUUGAACACAGUUCUAUUAAUGACUCCUUAUACAUAGCGCACAUUUAACGACCAUUGGAACCUGUGACCAUUGAAAUCCGCGAAAUUCCAUUGGAUGUGUUCCGUUGGAUCAUGUAGCUGACCCCACAGCGCUCGAUGGUUUGAAAGGUUAUUUGUUACAGUGGUCGUUGAAGGUGUUAUGUGAUAUGGGUGUAUGGCUUGAUGUUGUCAAUAGUCAAUGCCAGUAUCAUGCAUCGUAAUGCAAACUCAUGAUGAGGAGUUGCUUCACUGGUAAGAGUUUUCUUCUUUUUUUUUUACAAGAAAACUUAAACCAUAUGAUCACUCUAUGGCCUGAAACACUAACGACUUGAUGGAAUCUCAGUGGUCAGAGUGAACAAUCCUGAAGUCGUGUUCAAGUGCAUAUGUGAUACAGUGUAAAAUAUUGUCACAGGUGGCUCUUGCCUUUCGUAAUGUAUAUAGAUGUAUGUUAUAGAUGAGAUAUUUUGACAGAGCUAAGAUUUAGGACUUUCUUCUAGAGUGUGACAAGUUUGUGCACUAAGCCCUUGAUGAGAGGGUAAAUGAACCACGCGUUCUUGCAAACAAUGGCAAUAUCCAUGUGCUGAGCACAUGAACCUAGCUUGUGGGCCCUACUGGGUGCACUUAAAGCAUCCUUCACCUCUUUAGUCUUGAAUGGUGCUUGGCCCAGCAAUAGAUUUGAGCACUGCACACAUAUGGCUUUCAAUUCAAAUCAAGCAGCUGUCAUUGCACAGGAAAGGGGGCCUGUAUUGGCCAAUGUUGGUCCUACAUUGGACAAUGCUAACUCCUCUUCAAGCCAUGCUGGCCCAGUGAUGGGAUGACAUCAGCUGCUAUUGGCCCCCUUCUAUGCUGCUAGGAACAUCAACAAAAAAAAAUGAAAUCACACUCUUCAGGGUGCACUGCGUUUAGUAUUUUCUGUGCAAGGCAUUGUUUGUAAAGGGAAGGAAAAGAAACGUAAAAAAAAAAAGUCCACAAUCAGUGUACGCAUACAUUGAAAACAUUCUAGAGGUAAGUUACGUAUAAUAAAAGUUAAAGUUAUGCAAGUCAGAGAUAAGGAGGGAGCUUUCAUGUUAGUAGUCAUAGGAAUCAUUUCUGUGUGCACUAACUAAGAAUAAAGAGAAGCACAAGCCAGAGACACCCUCUUACAGUUAGCUUUUGGUUUUUGUGAAUAGGGUAAUGAGAAGAGAUGAUUACGACAUAUAUUUGAGAAAUAGUCUCUGCUGUGCCUCCAUCAUAUCAUUAAAGUUAGUUGUUUCUUGUCUUGUGGUCCUUUGUAUUGGGUAGAGAACUAUACAGAAUACCCUUGCAUUGGUAAACUUUUUUGCACUCAUGAUUAUCUUUAGGAGAAACAGUGUCAGAUCAAGAUUUGCAAGUAACCACACAUCUGCAUUCUGAUAUAAUCCACUUUCUUAGCGUACCCUUUUGAUAAGUUGAACUAAAUUUACAAAAGGUGUGAUCCGCGGUCUGGUCCCACUUCUACUCUAUAUUGGGCGCGUAAUGAAGCUGCGUAUAACUACAGCCUUCAAUGCAGAAAGUGGAAGUAAAGGAAUGUGUUGUUAAGUCCACGCAGUUGCUGAGAAAGUGUUCAAUUAACAAGCGCGUCUUUUCUGAAGAUACCGUAGACGAAGUUGGCCAAUAUAACGCCAUGCAUCAAAACGUUCACGUUGGAAGAGCAACUACUUUGUUUAAUCUCAUUACUCUUGCCUAAAACUGUGAAGCACUGUCUUCCUGCCUUAUGAUUCAGGGCUUCUUAAAGCAUGCAGUUAACAGACUUCUAACAAUAGGUGAAAUUACUUUAGUGGUAAAUAUUUUUCUGGUUUUGCCAGUUGUACGGCAGCAAGAUUAUCACUGUAUCAUGCACCGUCCUGUACAGGAAACGUUUGACACCAAGUGGUGUGGUUAUACAUGAUACCUUCAGUAGCUUGCCUUUUUUAUGUCUUUUUCCAUGUUCAAUGAACUUUUGGGGCAGAAGAGCUUGGCAGGAUAAAAUCAACAAUGGACACCAGCGACAACAGAGAGCUUUUAGUGCUAUGCACCAACUAUUUUUCAACAGUUCUAACAGACUGCAACAAGCAUGUUUUGCAUGAUACCAUUUUGAUAAACAAAAAAAAAAGAAA
RNA transcript from Dermacentor silvarum, 9190 nucleotides. It is a transcript of the gene named solute carrier organic anion transporter family member 3A1, with no coding region annotated. Lineage: Eukaryota; Metazoa; Arthropoda; Arachnida; Ixodida; Ixodidae. The record is from RefSeq and is a predicted model, not a curated record. The transcript has 19 exons.